GCUAUACUGCAAGUCGAGCGCGUUGGAUUCAUUGAUUCUUCUGCUUGAUUCUGAUUACUUUUGCUCCCCAUCGAUUGGUGACCGGUGGAGUAACUGCCCUGUAACCUGGCAUGAAGCUUGGGACAACGUUUGGAAACCGAAGCUAAUCCCGAAUCACAGGGUUGUUCUUUGGAACGACGCUCAAAAUAUGGCUUCUCGAUGACCCUUCUGGAUGGACCUGCGGUGGUGGGGCUUGUGGGUGGGGUAACGGCCUACCAAGGCCAAGAUGAAAAACCGAGUUGAGAGACUGGUACUGAACAAUGGGACUGACUCCUAGCCCAUGCUCCUACGGGGAAUCUUCCACGGGAAUCUUCCACAAUGGGGACAAACCUGAUGGAGCAACACCGCGUGAGUGAAGAAGGGUUUCGGCUCGUAAAGCUCUGUUGUUAAAGAAGAACACUGGUGAUUGUAACUGUUCAUUCGUUGACAAAGUUUAACCUGAAAGUCUCGGCUAACUACCUGCCAUCCGCCGCGGUAAUACGUAGGUGGGAUGCGUUGUGCGGAUUUAUUGGGCGUGCAGAGAGUGCAGGCUGAUUUCUAAGUCUGAUGUG
RNAcentral lists this ribosomal RNA (590 nucleotides) under Limosilactobacillus fermentum. RNAcentral describes it as "bacterial SSU rRNA". It matches the Rfam family "Bacterial small subunit ribosomal RNA", at positions 46 to 596 of the family's 1533-position model. Lineage: Bacteria; Bacillati; Bacillota; Bacilli; Lactobacillales; Lactobacillaceae. The record is from RNAcentral.